ACCGCAGUGCCAUAUCCACCACCAGAUUCACCACCCGAGGAGGGUGGUCAAGCCGAUCAUUAGGGGAGUUUUCUGUACCCUUUACCUUCAUUCAAUGGGGACAUUGAACAUUUUAAGUUUGGGGGUAUUGGGGGUCAUAGCAUGGUAGUUUAGUUUUAGUUAAUUAUUGCAUGUUUAGUUAAUUUUGCAUAUUUAUGUGUUUAGUUAAAUUUUGGCAUUUUG
Molecule: long non-coding RNA, 222 nt
Filed under: Panax ginseng (ginseng)
Lineage: Eukaryota; Viridiplantae; Streptophyta; Magnoliopsida; Apiales; Araliaceae
Description: long non-coding RNA (PGIN_LNC008519)
Source: RNAcentral